This 921-nucleotide ribosomal RNA is filed under the name Leuconostoc citreum. RNAcentral describes it as "bacterial SSU rRNA". It matches the Rfam family "Bacterial small subunit ribosomal RNA", at positions 94 to 1002 of the family's 1533-position model. The record is from RNAcentral. Lineage: Bacteria; Bacillati; Bacillota; Bacilli; Lactobacillales; Lactobacillaceae.
AGUGGCGAACGGGUGAGUAACACGUGGAUAACCUGCCUCAAGGCUGGGGAUAACAUUUGGAAACAGAUGCUAAUACCGAAUAAAACUUAGUAUCGCAUGAUACAAAGUUAAAAGGCGCUACGGCGUCACCUAGAGAUGGAUCCGCGGUGCAUUAGUUAGUUGGUGGGGUAAAGGCUUACCAAGACAAUGAUGCAUAGCCGAGUUGAGAGACUGAUCGGCCACAUUGGGACUGAGACACGGCCCAAACUCCUACGGGAGGCUGCAGUAGGGAAUCUUCCACAAUGGGCGCAAGCCUGAUGGAGCAACGCCGCGUGUGUGAUGAAGGCUUUCGGGUCGUAAAGCACUGUUGUAUGGGAAGAAAUGCUAAAAUAGGGAAUGAUUUUAGUUUGACGGUACCAUACCAGAAAGGGACGGCUAAAUACGUGCCAGCAGCCGCGGUAAUACGUAUGUCCCGAGCGUUAUCCGGAUUUAUUGGGCGUAAAGCGAGCGCAGACGGUUGAUUAAGUCUGAUGUGAAAGCCCGGAGCUCAACUCCGGAAUGGCAUUGGAAACUGGUUAACUUGAGUGUUGUAGAGGUAAGUGGAACUCCAUGUGUAGCGGUGGAAUGCGUAGAUAUAUGGAAGAACACCAGUGGCGAAGGCGGCUUACUGGACAACAACUGACGUUGAGGCUCGAAAGUGUGGGUAGCAAACAGGAUUAGAUACCCUGGUAGUCCACACCGUAAACGAUGAAUACUAGGUGUUAGGAGGUUUCCGCCUCUUAGUGCCGAAGCUAACGCAUUAAGUAUUCCGCCUGGGGAGUACGACCGCAAGGUUGAAACUCAAAGGAAUUGACGGGGACCCGCACAAGCGGUGGAGCAUGUGGUUUAAUUCGAAGCAACGCGAAGAACCUUACCAGGUCUUGACAUCCUUUGAAGCUUUUA